Long non-coding RNA from Micropterus salmoides (largemouth bass), 346 nucleotides. RefSeq lists it as uncharacterized. Lineage: Eukaryota; Metazoa; Chordata; Actinopteri; Centrarchiformes; Centrarchidae. The record is from RefSeq and is a predicted model, not a curated record. The transcript has 2 exons.
CCGUGGUCUUUAGAAGCCGACUGGUGCCGCGGUGUGUCGAAUAUCUGUGGGAAUUGUCCAGGUGAAGCCAGUUGCGGGUCAGUUGAUGGCGAGCUGCUACUACUACCUGGAACAGAACCUGCCCCAACAACCUCAUCGCCCCCUGUGGGUUUGGUAGGAGGCUGUUGCAGCUUUGCUCACUCCCUCCACUCAUUCUCACACACGGCCAUUCAGUAAGCCUUGGCUUAUGGACUAUUUGCGUUCCACGGAUCAUUCUCGUCAUUUGGACGUAGCGUUCAUCUUUCAUGAACAAACGAAAAUGUCCUAUACUGUGUUGUGACUGUCCUUAAAUCUGAGUACUCCUCAA